RNAcentral lists this ribosomal RNA (480 nucleotides) under uncultured bacterium. Its description in RNAcentral is "partial 16S ribosomal RNA". It matches the Rfam family "Bacterial small subunit ribosomal RNA", at positions 28 to 506 of the family's 1533-position model. The record is from RNAcentral.
GAUGAACGCUGGCGGCGUGCUUAACACAUGCAAGUCGAACGAAGCACUUUAUUUGAUUUCCUUCGGGACUGAUUAUUUUGUGACUGAGUGGCGGACGGGUGAGUAACGCGUGGGUAACCUGCCUUGUACAGGGGGAUAACAGUUGGAAACGGCCGCUAAUACCGCAUAAGCGCACAGCAUCGCAUGAUGCAGUGUGAAAAACUCCGGUGGUAUAAGAUGGACCCGCGUUGGAUUAGCUAGUUGGUGAGGUAACGGCCCACCAAGGCGACGAUCCAUAGCCGACCUGAGAGGGUGACCGGCCACAUUGGGACUGAGACACGGCCCAAACUCCUACGGGAGGCAGCAGUGGGGAAUAUUGCACAAUGGGCGAAAGCCUGAUGCAGCGACGCCGCGGGAGCGAAGAAGUAUUUCGGUAUGUAAAGCUCUAUCAGCAGGGAAGAUAAUGACGGUACCUGACUAAGAAGCACCGGCUAAAUACGU